CGCCCGUCUCAAGCAGCUCGUCAG
This 24-nucleotide non-coding RNA is filed under the name Arabidopsis thaliana (thale cress). Lineage: Eukaryota; Viridiplantae; Streptophyta; Magnoliopsida; Brassicales; Brassicaceae. The record is from RNAcentral.